This 5275-nucleotide long non-coding RNA is filed under the name Solanum lycopersicum (tomato). Its description in RNAcentral is "long non-coding RNA (SLYC_LNC000286)". The record is from RNAcentral. Lineage: Eukaryota; Viridiplantae; Streptophyta; Magnoliopsida; Solanales; Solanaceae.
UUUCACACGAAUAAUAUCUCAUAAUAUCUUUCAUAUAAAACCAUAGGAAAAUACUAAGUCUUAACAUACGCUAAUCUUAGACUCAAGAAAACUUGGGACACAACCCAUACAAUCAAAAUAAAGAACUUAGUCUAUUACAAUACUUUGAAUAAAAGAAGUCUAAAGAUAGUAAUGUCCCCGAGUCAAGUGAGGACAUACUUCAAUUUUGCCUGAAAAAGUCUAGAUUCCAAGCCUUGCUUCAAGACACCUCUUAUGUUCCACCUACACCCUUUGAAAUAGACAAAAUGUAUGGAAUUAGUACAAUGCAUGUACUAAGUAUAACAUAAUACAUAAAAUCAUGAGAAAUGGACAUUCAUGAGAAACAUACUCUUUUUGAUUAAAACUUCAUAUUAUAACUAUAUAUUAAUCACAUUUAAAUACCACACAUCAUAUUUAGAAUAAAGUACAAGUCAUCUCUAAAUUAGAUGCAUUUACAAUAACAUUACAGUAAGCAUUACAGUGACUUCACUUUAACAUCAUAUAAAACUCACACAUGACAAUAUAGCAUCAAACAUACAUCAAAACACAUAGACAUGAGAUCCUCCUACUAAAGGUAAUUCCAAGGCUCACUUAAGUGAUUUAUGAAGCGACCACCCAUACAAUCCCUUCACACACACCAAAGAGAUCCUUUAGACUACCUACGAUAAGGUAAUUCUCAUUUUACAUAAUAGAAUAUAAUAUGACAUUCUCCUCCCAAAGGUUAUCAAAAGACUUACUUAAGUAAUACAAGAAGAGACCGCCCAUACACCCUCUUCAAGCUUACCUAAAUAAUCCUUAAAGACUACCUAUGUUUAGAUCAUGUCUAAUUUAUCAAUUUUUUUCCCUAUCUAAAGUUGUUCUUUAGUCUUCCCUGAGUAAGACAUGAAGAUACCAUUCCAAUACCCCCUUACACCUUAACUAAGCAAUCCUUAAACUACUCUACGUAAGUACUUAUUCAUUAACAUACUUUCUAACUUCCGUCUUUAUCUUCAUUAAUUCAUCAAGAGACAUUUAACAUUCAAGGACAUUCAAAUAAUAGUGUUGGAGAAGACCUAGGGACUAACACAAUAACAUCUUGAAAGCCUAAUCGUGCAGUGUCUAGAUAGCGCCCCAUACCACUACCUUAACUCCAUAGAACUUCUCCAACACUUGUAGGUAUCCUAUAUGAUGAUAAUAGGCAAUAAACAACAUAGAGAAUACUAGUUAUGCAUGGAAUAUAGAGUCAUGAACCUACUCUGAUGGAGGGUGUUCACUUGCCAAUGGUAGAACUAGGACACAUCCCAUGUAAGCGCAUGGUUAAGGACUAUGAAGGGUUUCUUUGUUAUCUAAUGUCAUCUUAUUUAGAGAAACUCCCCUAACAUACUCAUUAUAUGCUAGAAUUUGUUCUCCUACAGUAUUUCAAUAAGGAGCAUAUGGAUCGGUACCAUAACUUGUUCACAAUCCAAUCACAUUACACCUUACCAAAGAGGGUCCACUAAGGCUACCUGCAAUGGUCAAGAGGAUAGCUCAAUGACUUUCCUAAGGAUGAUUUCAUGCCGUUCCAGCCAAUCAAACCUAAGUCCACAAUUCACAUAAGAAGUAUACCAUUAUGGCUUUCAACAUCAAGGAUAUCAUAACCUUCCAUCUAGGUUGAAGGUUCCCCAUAAAAGACCUUCUUAACUAUGUUCAAGGUCACAUGUCAGUCAUACAUACAAGACUAAGAAGCUUUAGCAUACUAAGUAGAGAACUAAUAUUUACAUUGUACAUGUAUCAAGUAAACACAAGUCUAUCAAAAUAAGACAUACAUAUACUUCACCAUAUCACAUAUAUCAUAUCAUUCAAGAAGUACAUAGGAAUAAACAAUGUCAUUUAUAGGUCACCCUAUUCCCUACUAUUUUAUCAUCCAUCUAAAUUAUCACAAGGCUCAUAUAAUCCAUCAAGAAUCAUCAUACUUCAACAUCAAGUAAUACACAUAAUGACUUCACUAUAGCCUACUAGAGAUACACAUGAUCAACUUAAAGAACUCAUGCUUUGACGCCAUAUAUAUACCGCACUCAUCAACAAUCUCACAAUACUAACAUAUUCAAGUUACAACAUGAUAAAUCCAUAAUACAUAAAGUAAUGAUGACGAGGCCACAUUGUUUCACAAUUCAUAAUGUAAUGUUGACGAGACAACAUAAUUCACAGGUAUAGCACAUAAUCACCACCACCAUAAGUGGACCAUACCAAACAUCAUCAUCAUCUAAGAACUAUACUACACAAUAUAGAGAAAGUUAGGUCAACAUACCUCCAUUCCAAUCUCACAACUCCAAUCCAUAGCUAAAUCAUCCAACACAAUACUCAAAGACCCUUACCAAUGGCCAUGAUCACUAAUUGAAUCCAAUAAUCAUAAUAUUCUAUGAAUCAAAGAUAAUACUAUUUUAAACAUUUUCUACCAAAGUUUUCAGAAAAUAUUAUAUUAUGAAUUUUUUUUUAUAGUUUUCGAGUCGCCACUUAAUUUUUAAAGAAAAAUCAAGCAAACUACUGUUUUCAAAAGAUUUAAACAGAAAAAUCAUUUUGAAAACUUUUAAAGGAGUUCAGGGAUUCUUAUUAUAAUCUAAAGUUCCUUUGAAAACUAUCUUAUUGUCUAAGCGAGAAUUAUUUGAAGUUGUUUAAAAAAGGAAAUAUUUAAUUUUACUAUUUAAGUAGAAAUUGGUUUGAAAAUUUCAUUUAUUCUUUUAUAAUCCGUUUGAAGUUAACUUUAAAUCGACAAAACAUUUACGGCAUUUGCGGUAAUUUGGAUUCUUCAACUUUAAGUUAUCGACAAAUAAAAGAAGAUAAGUACACAUAAAAUAAAAGAGGGGGAGAGAGAGAGUUGGGUUUGACCCAAACCCGGUUUCUGUCCGCCUGGAUCGGUGUUUGGGCCCAUUUUGGUUUUGGCCUUUAGGCCCACUUUCUUUGUAUCUGUCCUAGACUAAACAUACAAUAAUAAUAGAAAAUAAAAGACGACAAGGGCUUAUGCUCAAAGAUAACAAAAUAAAAAUAAAAAGGGACGACAUAAAAUGGGACUCGUGGUCACCUUCUUUAUUUCUUCUAUAGUUCUACCCUUCGUUUCGCGACCUGUACGUCAUGUUUUGAGGGGGCUGACCAUCUCGAUAAAGGAAGUUUCAAACCUUUAUGGAUAUCUUCGAUAUGCAAAGAGAAAGGAUGAGUCCUUAAAGAACUCAACUUGAUUUCACAUGCAACUAAAGAAAAAGGAGAUUCAACUAGUAAUUAAGUGAAAUGCUAACGAACUGUAAUAAUUUAUGUCUACCAAUAUGGUACAAGGUCAUAUUACUGGACAAAAUAAUCAAAGUGGUCAAUACCCAAAUUAUGUAUAGAGAGAGAAACAAAAAAAAUAAAAAAAAAUAACAAACAAUAAAAAUAAAUGAAGGCCCACUUCAAAUCAAGUAUCUCAAAGAUGGAAAAUGAACUAUUCCUAAACAGAUUGGAGUAAAGCAAACAAAAACAGAGACGGUGUAGACUGAUUCCAUAUAAUUUAUAUAAAUAAACACCAAUAGAGACAACCAAUAAAAUGCAAUGCAUCAGGUAAUACAACUAAGAUGAUAUUUAAAAACAAAGAAAAAAAAGGAAGGGCAGGCCUAAAAAUUACAUGUCCGUCUACUACUCCGAACACCAAGGGAACUGCAAUUAGCCAAAAGCAAAUUCUAAACUGAGAACCACUCGCUAUCGCCAUCAACACGAAAUCAAGAUGUUUAUGGAUUUCAAAUAACAUCAGCUCAUACGAGGCGAGAUGGUAGAUAGUAAUAAAUGGGAGCAAAUUACGAUCUGGAAAAUUGUAGGGGACUGCGCCUUAUUGACUCAAUGGCAAAUUUUAUAAGCAUUUUUGAUCAAAAUUAAGGUGUGAAGUGUGUGUGUGUGUGGGUGGGGGGGGGGGGGGGGGGGGGGGGGGGAAUAAAACUAUUCAUGAACUUCCAUUAGGAUCACAACAAACAGAUUCUUAAAGCAAUUCAAGUUUAAAAUCGAUAUACUUCGAUAACAAAGUUUUCUCCUAGAUUUCAGUCAGCAGAGUGUUUGAAAGAAAAAGGAACCCAGAUUUUAUGGCAUUCAUUCUAUAGAGGAGCAAAAUGAUAUAUAUGAUUUUUAGUGCAAAACAUGAUAUGUUUUCAAUAAACCGAAUUUAAAUUUUCUAGAAACCACGAAAUCAAUCAGACGAAUCAGAAAUGUGAUACAUGGGAUUCAAAGCAAUCGCUAACACGACACAUGAAUAACGCUAAAUAACACUAACUUGACACAACAGAAAAAGACAAGCGAACAGGCAAUCCAAACUUCUUUAAUGAGAGAAAUAUGCUACCAAAGAGCUAAGUUGGAGAGAAUAGUUAAAAGAGAACGAAAUUGAAACUAAGAAUACAACAACUAUAAAUGCUAAAAGAUAUAAAACAACACCAUUUUCCUUCCACAAAAAUCUGCUACCUCGAAACAAUUGAACAACCAGAAGCUGCAAUCAUAGAAGUCGAUAGAUCAAAAGAAAGGAAAAAAUAAUUUUUUCCAGAAACUAGUGAUGGUCAUAAACCUAAACAUGCUUCAAAGUAAUACUAAACCCCACAGAGAGACUUGUAUCCGUGAGGGACCCAAAUAUGCGACUGUCUAAUGCAUUUCCGCACUUUCCAAGCACAUUGCAGAGACAAGAAUGUUCUUCCAUUAAACACUGAAAAACAACACAUUUUUUUUUAAAAAAUGCAAUGAGACAAGAUGGAGACACUACCGAAAGUACAAAGAACGCUGGGAGUACCUAUAGCAAAUGAUGAACAACGGGAACAAGAGAAAUACUAACAGCUACUCAAACGAGCAUAAUAAAAAAUAUAUAUAUAAAAAAUCAACAGUAGACUGAGAUAAUUAACCUAAAGAAAACGAUAGAAAAAAAAAACAGCUCCAACAAUAUUAAUAAUACAAUGGCAUGCUUAUCAACAAAGGAUUAUCAUUUGUCCAUGUAUGUUAAAAUAAUAACUCUGUAUCCCAUUAAUGGAAAAUCGAACAAAAAUCAAACUACAGUCACACAAUCAAAUUUAGAACUUCAAACAAUCGAAUAGGAUGCAAAAGGGAACUAGCAAGGGAUAAGUAAGUUAACCUUUUCGAGGCAGGAACUAGGACAACGACGAGCUGAUAGGGCAACAACUAUCACACCAAACGCAAAAUGGAAGGUAAUCGAGGAACCCAGACAGCAACUUAAACACACCCCAAGCUAAAGAUCGGGAUUUAACUCUUCCUUCUUUUCGAAAGGUAUUCUGGUAUGCCUUUU